GUUUUGAUAGUUUAUAAUAAAACAUUGGUUUUGUAAACCACAAUUAAGACUUCUUUCAAAACU
This 63-nucleotide transfer RNA is filed under the name Haania sp. JZ-2017. RNAcentral's name for it is "tRNA-Thr". It matches the Rfam family "tRNA". From Rfam's summary of the family: Transfer RNA (tRNA) molecules are approximately 80 nucleotides in length. Their secondary structure includes four short double-helical elements and three loops (D, anti-codon, and T loops). Further hydrogen bonds mediate the characteristic L-shaped molecular structure. tRNAs have two regions of fundamental functional importance: the anti-codon, which is responsible for specific mRNA codon recognition, and the 3' end, to which the tRNAs corresponding amino acid is attached (by aminoacyl-tRNA synthetases). tRNAs cope with the degeneracy of the genetic code in two manners: having more than one tRNA (with a specific anti-codon) for a particular amino acid; and 'wobble' base-pairing, i.e. permitting non-standard base-pairing at the 3rd anti-codon position. Lineage: Eukaryota; Metazoa; Arthropoda; Insecta; Mantodea; Haaniidae. The record is from RNAcentral.